GGCUCGCGCCCGCUUUUCCCGGGAGCCGCGGGGAGCGGAGAGCGAGACACCAAACGCUCCCGACGCCGGGAAAGGUACUGGGGAUUGAACCCAGAGCUUUCACUCUGAGGUACGUUCCCAUUCCACCCCACCCCCACUUUUGAGAUGUGCUAAAUCCAGACUGAGCUCCAAUUUGGAAUCCUCCUGCCUCAGCCUCCUGGAGUAUUGGAAUGACGGGUAUGCAUACCUCACACCCCAAGGCUAAAAUUCUUUAAACUCGCUCAGUGUUCUGAUAGUCAACCUCAAGUGUUCAUUCCCUGCUGGAGGCUUAACUACACCUGGUCAGGUGCUUGGCUUCAUCUGACCUCUUGCAAGACAGUCAUACAACUAACUGCAAAACCAUUAGUAUAUGCAUCCAUACAACAUUUCAUUUGCAAAGUAUUUCCUCAAACUUAAUGCCCUAGAGAAUGUAUCACAACAUAAUAUAUGCGCUAAGCAACUUCACUUUUCAUUUUAUCUUUUUAUAUUUGUAUUUUACUACUGCUUUUGAGAUAGAAUCUCACUGUGUAGUUCAAGCUGGCCUUUAACUCACUGUGUUGCCCAGGCUGGCCUUAAACUCCCUAUGAUCCUCCUGCCUCAGCCUCUACUGGGGAUUACAGGUAUGUGCUGCCACGUCCAGCUUUCCAUUUUACAGAAUUGGAAACACAACUUUUCUCCAAGUUCAUCUACCUAAUGACAGUGGUCAAAGUGAUCAGAAGGUGCUCAGGUCUUACCUGAGACUAGAGUUUCAUCUGUUCAGAUUCAAGCUGCUAUCAGAUAAUAGUACUAAUAUCUCUCUAUGUAUCCCAGGCUGGCCCCGAACUCAAGGAUCCUUCUGCCUCAGACUCCCCAGGUGCUGGGAAUACAGGCUUAGGUUUCCUUGCUUAAAGGCAAUUGUAAUAGCUGAGUGUGAUGCAGGUCUUGUAAUCCCAGCAAUUGGGAGGCUGAGGCAGGAGGAUGGUGGCAGGUUCAAGGCCAGCCUGAGCUACACAGUGAGUUAAUGGCCAGUGAGAUCUGGUCUAUAAAGAAGGAAAAAAAGAGAAGUCCCUGUUGAGAAAGAAAGAAAAGAAAUUGGAGGACUGCAUGUGUGAGACCCUGGGUUCCUCUGGUGGGGGGACCUUAGUUGUAUCUACUUAUAAGGCUGUUUAAGGAGGAAGAGGCAGGUGCUGGACCUUUAAGAAGCAGUGAGUGCUAUUAUUUUCUUUCUUUUUUUUUUUUGGUACUGGAGAUUGAUCUCAGGGCCUUGAGCUUGCGAGGCAGGUGAGGUGCCACUGAGCUACAUCCCCAGCCCAUUCCUGUUUUUUUCAACCCCACCCCUUCCAGCUGCAGCCCAAGUUGUGUUUUCCACUGUCUUCAUUUUUUAGCACUUAGAGAAUCAGCAUGCUAAGCAUCUUCAGUGUACACAGUCCACAAAGCUGAUGGUCCCUGUUAAGGGCUGGCAUGAAUGAAUGAAUGAAAGAAGGGAGGCUUUCCUUACAAAUGCUGUCAGUAGUUCUCCGGCAUCCUUUUAUCUUUCUUCACUCUUAGCCAAUGACUUGGUUCUUAUUUUACUGGAGAAGAAGUAAUCAGGAGCCAGGCACAUACGAGUAAUACCAGCACUCAUCCUGAAGGAAGAAAAUUUCAAGUUUGAGGCCAGCUAACAAGGCCAGUCUGAACUACAUAGUGAGAGCCUGUCUUUAAACAAAAAGGGUAAUCAGGGGCCAGGGAUUUAGCUCAGUGGUUCCUGAGCUUGCCUCACAAGCACAAGGUCCUGAGUUCGAUCCCCAGUAAUGAAAAAAAAAAAAUCCAGGAUGGGGGUAUAGUUCAAGGCCUGGGUUCCCUAGCACCACACACACCACCACUACCACCACCACCACCAUCAACAACAACAACAAAUUCAAACAAAAACCAUCCUUAUGUCACCACCAAUCUGACCAUCCUUACCUUUAUACUCAGACUUCCAUCUUGUUACAUUGAGUUGUCCUUGCUCACAUUUUAAGCCAACUGCCACUCCAAACACAUUUCAUUCUUGCCUACCCAAGGACUAAUUUUCCUGCCCUAUCUACUUUCUCCUGCAUCAUCUACUUUUCUUUCUAUAAAUUCAUUUCGUUAGCAUGCAGAUAUGUUGUAAUAUCUCCAUUUAAAAAAAUAAAACAGCCUGGCAUGGUGGUUCAUGCCUGUCAUCUCAGCAUUGGGGAGGCUGAGGCAGGAGAAUCAGUAUCCGUUCAAGGCCAGCCUGGACUACAUCUUGAGUUCAAGGCCAACCUGAACUAUAUAGCAAGACCCUGUCUCAAAAACCAAAAUAAAAUAAAUAAAGCAAAACAAAACAAAUUUUCUUUAAUCUCCAUGACCUAGUCCAUUGUUCCUAACUGCUGUAAAAUGUUCUAUUAUAUGGUUCCUUAGAUUUUUUUGUUACCCCAAUGAUGAAAUACUAGACUGUCUCUAACUUCUGACUUCCUGCAUCCACAAGCAAGUCUGUAAUAAAUACCUUUGUAUGUGU
This is a non-coding RNA of Heterocephalus glaber (naked mole-rat), 2497 nucleotides long. NCBI's taxonomy places the organism in Eukaryota, Metazoa, Chordata, Mammalia, Rodentia, Bathyergidae. The record is from RefSeq and is a predicted model, not a curated record.